AAUGAACGUUGGCGGCGUGGAUUAGGCAUGCAAGUCGUACGGGAGUAGCAAUACUCUAGUGGCGAAAGGGAUAGUACAAUAUAGAUCAUCUGCCCCCGGGACGUGGAUAUACGAGGGAAACUUCGGGUAAUACACGAUAAUCUCCAUGGAGCAAAGGUGUGAUUCCGCCUGGGGAUGAGUCUAUAGCCUAUUAGCUUGUUGGUGGGGUAAUGGCCUACCAAGGCUAAGAUGGGUACCGGGCGUGAGAGCGUGACCCGGCUCACUGGGACUGAGACACUGCCCAGACACCUACGGGUGGCUGCAGUCGAGAAUCUUCGGCAAUGGACGAAAGUCUGACCGAGCGACGCCGCGUGUGUGACGAAGGCCAUUUGCGUUGUAAAGCACUAUCGUUUGGGAGGAAGUGUACGGGGGCUAUCCCCUGUACUUGACCUAUCUUAGGAAGAAGGACGGGCUAAGUUCGUGCCAGCAGCCGCCGUAAAAC
RNAcentral lists this ribosomal RNA (481 nucleotides) under uncultured bacterium. RNAcentral describes it as "bacterial SSU rRNA". It matches the Rfam family "Bacterial small subunit ribosomal RNA", at positions 29 to 526 of the family's 1533-position model. The record is from RNAcentral.